RNAcentral lists this long non-coding RNA (396 nucleotides) under Zea mays. RNAcentral describes it as "long non-coding RNA (ZMAY_LNC004533)". Lineage: Eukaryota; Viridiplantae; Streptophyta; Magnoliopsida; Poales; Poaceae. The record is from RNAcentral.
UUCUUCCAAUGAAGCAGCUAAACAAGCCAGAUAAAAUGGAAGACAGGAGAGAGAAAAGCCAUAUUACCUGGUACUGUGAUCGGCAGCUAAAUUCUUCGUUCUUGACUGACCACUGGAUCCUAGCGUCUACUUCAUUCCAACUAAACGUAUGGAUGGUUGUGCUGUUGGAAAGAUCUAGAGUAUGACUGGACAGGUAAACUACAGACACCAGCUAAAAAUACAUAUAGUUGCCUGAUUUGCAUGCCUCCCGUUGGAGUGGGCCUAACUGACUGAUCAGUCCAGCUAAUCCAAUCCUCAACUUUGCAGCUCUGACAUCGUUUCCCUUAACUUCGCAAGGUGAACUUUUCGAAGAAAAGUCUGCUCACGUAGCGUUUGUCAGCCGUGGGCACUGGGCGG